This 482-nucleotide ribosomal RNA is filed under the name uncultured bacterium. RNAcentral's name for it is "bacterial SSU rRNA". It matches the Rfam family "Bacterial small subunit ribosomal RNA", at positions 34 to 507 of the family's 1533-position model. The record is from RNAcentral.
CGCUGGCGGCAUGCCUUAACACAUGCAAGUCGAACGGCAGCACGGGUGCUUGCACCUGGUGGCGAGUGGCGAACGGGUGAGUAAUAUAUCGGAACGUAUCCAAUAAGUGGGGGAUAACUAAUCGAAAGGUUAGCUAAUACCGCAUACGCCCGUACGGGGAAAGCAGGGGAUCUUCGGACCUUGCGUUAAUGGAGCGGCUGAUAUCUGAUUAGCUAGUAGGUGAGGUAAAGGCUCACCUAGGCUUCGAUCAGUAGCUGGUCUGAGAGGACGACCAGCCACACUGGAACUGAGACACGGUCCAGACUCCUACGGGAGGCAGCAGUGGGGAAUUUUGGACAAUGGGCGCAAGCCUGAUCCAGCCAUUCCGCGUGAGUGAAGAAGGCCUUCGGGUUGUAAAGCUCUUUCAGGUGGAAAGAAAACGCAUGGGUCAAUACCCUGUGUGGAUGACGGUACCAUCAGAAGAAGCACCGGCUAACUACGUG